CACCGCCCGUCACAUCACGAAAGUGGGUUGUACUAGAAGUCCGCACGCCAACCGCAAGGAGGCAGCGGCCCAAGGUAUGACUCAUGAUUGGGGUG
This 95-nucleotide ribosomal RNA is filed under the name uncultured bacterium. RNAcentral's name for it is "partial 16S ribosomal RNA". It matches the Rfam family "Bacterial small subunit ribosomal RNA", at positions 1388 to 1482 of the family's 1533-position model. The record is from RNAcentral.